Molecule: ribosomal RNA, 484 nt
Filed under: uncultured bacterium
Lineage: Bacteria
Description: bacterial SSU rRNA
Rfam family: Bacterial small subunit ribosomal RNA
Source: RNAcentral
AUUGAACGCUGGCGGAAUGCUUUACACAUGCAAGUCGAACGGCAGCACGGACUUCGGUCUGGUGGCGAGUGGCGAACGGGUGAGUAAUGUAUCGGAACGUGCCCAGUCGUGGGGGAUAACGUAGUGAAAAUUACGCUAAUACCGCAUACGAUCUAUGGAUGAAAGCGGGGGACCGUAAGGCCUCGCGCGAUUGGAGCGGCCGAUGUUAGAUUAGGUAGUUGGUGGGGUAAAGGCUCACCAAGCCGACGAUCUAUAGCUGGUCUGAGAGGAUGAUCAGCCACACUGGGACUGAGACACGGCCCAGACUCCUACGGGAGGCAGCAGUGGGGAAUUUUGGACAAUGGGCGCAAGCCUGAUCCAGCCAUUCCGCGUGCAGGACGAAGGCCUUCGGGUUGUAAACUGCUUUUGUACAGAACGAAAAGCUCUGGGUUAAUACCCUGGGGUCAUGACGGUACUGUAAGAAUAAGCACCGGCUAACUACGUG